Molecule: ribosomal RNA, 322 nt
Filed under: Salmonella enterica
Lineage: Bacteria; Pseudomonadati; Pseudomonadota; Gammaproteobacteria; Enterobacterales; Enterobacteriaceae
Description: bacterial SSU rRNA
Source: RNAcentral
AAAUUGAAGAGUUUGAUCAUGGCUCAGAUUGAACGCUGGCGGCAGGCCUAACACAUGCAAGUCGAACGGUAACAGGAAGCAGCUUGCUGCUUUGCUGACGAGUGGCGGACGGGUGAGUAAUGUCUGGGAAACUGCCUGAUGGAGGGGGAUAACUACUGGAAACGGUGGCUAAUACCGCAUAACGUCGCAAGACCAAAGAGGGGGACCUUCGGGCCUCUUGCCAUCRGAUGUGCCCAGAUGGGAUUAGCUGGUUGGUGAGGUAACGGCUCACCAAGGCGACGAUCCCUAGCUGGUCUGAGAGGAUGACCAGCCACACUGGAAC